GAAGAAAGCUGGCGGCGUGCCUAAUACAUGCAAGUUGAGCGAUGAAGAUUGGUGCUUGCACCAAUUUGAAGAGCAGCGAACGGGUGAGUAACGCGUGGGGAAUCUGCCUUUGAGCGGGGGACAACAUUUGGAAACGAAUGCUAAUACCGCAUAACAACUUUAAACAUAAGUUUUAAGUUUGAAAGAUGCAAUUGCAUCACUCAAAGAUGAUCCCGCGUUGUAUUAGCUAGUUGGUGAGGUAAAGGCUCACCAAGGCGAUGAUACAUAGCCGACCUGAGAGGGUGAUCGGCCACAUUGGGACUGAGACACGGCCCAAACUCCUACGGGAGGCAGCAGUAGGGAAUCUUCGGCAAUGGACGAAAGUCUGACCGAGCAACGCCGCGUGAGUGAAGAAGGGUUUCGGAUCGUAAAACUCUGUUGGUAGAGAAGAACGUUGGUGGGAGUGGAAAGCUCAUCAAGUGACGGUAACUACCCAGAAAGGGACGGCUAACUACGUG
Molecule: ribosomal RNA, 497 nt
Filed under: uncultured bacterium
Lineage: Bacteria
Description: partial 16S ribosomal RNA
Rfam family: Bacterial small subunit ribosomal RNA
Source: RNAcentral